This 750-nucleotide long non-coding RNA is filed under the name Mytilus galloprovincialis (Mediterranean mussel). Lineage: Eukaryota; Metazoa; Mollusca; Bivalvia; Mytilida; Mytilidae. The record is from RNAcentral.
AAGUAAAUUGUCCGGUAGAAAAGUUCCAAUUUAGGUCAUCAAAGUAAGAUAUUUUGGUUUUAAUAAGAUGCAUCGCAAACCAUAGCAAAGCAAGGUAUAUAUAUAUAUAUAUAUUUGUUUUUAGUGAACGUCACGUUUAAUUAUGUGAUGUCCCUCUAUUUUGUUCUCGAACAUGUUGUUUUCUGGAAUAGAGUAAUGUAAAUAAAGUACUCGACACAAUAGCCUAGCCUGUUGAAACAUCGCAUAAUAUAAGAUAUAAUAUUAGCAGACUUUUAUGCAGAUAGUAGUAGUUCUUCAGAUAUCCAGAAAAUUAUUGUUUUCAGGAAAUAAGAACAUAAUAAAUAACAUUCAGAGAACAUUGCUAUAACAUCUUUCAAAAUAAUUUGUAAGACCUCAUAGUACAGUUUUUGGAUGUGAAUAAAUGUAUUAAUAAGAAACAUCACCGCCACUGAAAAAAGAUACUCGCCAUUCUAGAAUUCUUUAGACGAUCUGUGAACUCCGAUCGGUAUAAAAAGUACCCAAUUGUUUAUAGUACUUUGAUUGACAUUUUGACUUGGCCAUGAGUUACUUGAUCGUUGUAUCCACUGUAUUGCAUACGAUAUCCACAUUUUACAACGUAAAGAGCAAGCGAAAUCAAAAAUUAUUUUGUCAGUUAUACACGGUCUAUGAAUUGUCAUGCGCAUAUCAUUUCCAACCAGGAAUAAAUAUAUUGUUUAUAUAAUGCACUCGAAAAAUAGUGUUCACCAUUAU